RNAcentral lists this transfer RNA (84 nucleotides) under Candidatus Woesearchaeota archaeon. RNAcentral's name for it is "tRNA-Leu". It matches the Rfam family "tRNA". From Rfam's summary of the family: Transfer RNA (tRNA) molecules are approximately 80 nucleotides in length. Their secondary structure includes four short double-helical elements and three loops (D, anti-codon, and T loops). The record is from RNAcentral. Lineage: Archaea; Nanobdellati; Candidatus Woesearchaeota.
GUGGGCGUGCCGGAGUGGUCAAACGGGAUGGACUCAAAAUCCAUUGACUUAGUGUCUACGCAGGUUCGAGCCCUGCCGCCCACA